Molecule: RNA transcript, 2231 nt
Organism: Sorex araneus (European shrew)
Lineage: Eukaryota; Metazoa; Chordata; Mammalia; Eulipotyphla; Soricidae
Gene: MEAF6
Gene name: MYST/Esa1 associated factor 6
Exons: 9
Source: RefSeq, a predicted model, not a curated record
CGGCGCGCAGGCCCGCCCCCAGCCCGGCGCCGCCGCCCGCCUCAGCCCAACAUGGCGAUGCACAACAAGGCGGCACCCCCGCAGAUCCCGGACACCCGGCGGGAACUGGCGGAGCUGGUGAAGCGGAAGCAGGAGCUGGCGGAGACGCUGGCGAACUUGGAGAGACAGAUCUAUGCCUUUGAAGGGAGCUACCUGGAAGACACGCAGAUGUACGGCAAUAUCAUUCGCGGCUGGGACCGGUAUCUCACCAACCAGAAAAAUUCCAAUAGCAAAAAUGAUCGAAGGAACCGGAAGUUUAAGGAAGCUGAGCGUCUCUUCAGUAAAUCCUCAGUUACUUCAGCAGCUGCAGUAAGCGCAUUGGCAGGAGUUCAGGACCAGCUCAUUGAAAAGAGGGAACCAGGAAGUGGGACAGAAAGUGAUACAUCUCCAGAUUUCCACAAUCAGGAAAAUGAGCCCAGCCAGGAGGACCCUGAGGAUCUGGACGGAUCUGUGCAGGGGGUGAAACCGCAGAAGGCUGCUUCUUCCACUUCCUCAGGGAGUCAUCACAGCAGCCAUAAAAAACGAAAGAAUAAAAACCGGCACAGCCCGUCUGGCAUGUUUGAUUAUGACUUUGAGUAUGUAUAUUAGGUUAGGCUGGGAAGUUUUUUUUAAAAACAGAAAAACGUGAUGGAGGAUUGAUCUGAAGUUAAACAAAAAACCACGAGCUGAUUACUAGAAGAUUGAUUAGUACAGAAGCUUCCAGGCUAUAGAGUCCUGCUUCCUUCUCCAACCUCACAGAGAUAAACGUUCCUCACCUGAGUGCGUGGCCAUCCCCCUCUGCUUUCCCAGACCCAGUGCCUGUGACUGAGUAGUUUGUGUUCUGAAAUGUGAUGACAAACAGGUCAUUUCUCUAAGACCACACUGGAUCAUUUACUUUGUGUUGUUUUUAGUAACAGAACUGCAGGACAACAUGGUUAUAAACCCAGCAAGUUGCAAACUGUGCAUUUCUCCCGUCUUGAAAUGAGUGUUUCCUCCCAAAUUGGCUGGCACCCACUUCAUCUGUGAUACCUAUCAAGAAUGUUCUCUGGUUUUGUUUUAUGCUGAAAAUAGAGCACAGGUCACGUUUCAGAGUGAGGCUGUAAAUAUCCGGCAUUUUCUUAUUUUGUUUGUGUUUUAUUAUUUUUCUACUGUUGUUUUUACCAUCGUAUGUUGGGGAUUUUUUGUAAUGCUGUUGUACAGCUCAUACCUUCCUGCUGGCAUAUCUGAUAAUCUGUUUCGUGCAGUUGCCAAUAUUCUUAACUGAAAAUCAUCCGGUUUACCAUAAAUAAAAUGGGGGACUUGGCUCUUCUGUUUUUGUUUUUGCAGGGAGAAGGUAAUGGGUAUUUGUUUAAUAAUUGACUAUCUUCAAUCUUUCUGAGCUGGAAGCAGUUUCAUAUUCUAGGAACAGGAAAGCUGAAGAGCAGAUUUAAAUCAGUCCUUUUAAAAUUGAUAUUUUUAUUCUUUUGUAUAAAUAAAAUUUCAUAGGAUUUGACUUCUCAUACUUUACAUUUAAGCCUGUAAAUUUUUUUCCACUUAUUUAUUCAUAUCAUGCCUUAUGGAAAUUUCUUUUUUCAUCUUUUCUCUCCUUGCUGAUACUUGCCUGAUUAGAUACUGCUCAAAAAUCACUAAGGCAUGUUAUGAGGCUCAAAAUUUGCACUUCAGGCAGAUGAUACGUGGAAUUCUUGAUUGGCAUGAAAGAUAGGAUCAAUGAGAACUACAUUGUCCCACAGGUCUCACUUCCUUUGGGGGGGGUGAUGGGUCAAGGUGUUGUUGAUCAUUGUUUCCUGCCUCUACAGCAGUGGCUUCUACCUGCUACACAUUGAAAUCACCUGGGAAGUUUAAAAAUACAUAUUUUGAUAAUGUGGGUCUCACGCCAAAGGCUCUUACAGGGAUAUAGUCUAAUUACUGGGAUUUCCUUUCAAAGAGUCCCUGGGGUUCUGAUAACCAAAUUGAGAAUCACUGGUAUUAGAAAACUAGUAUUGUAAGUUAAAUCAGUCAACAGGGAUAAGAUUUAAGGCCUCACCUUUCCUUGACUCUAUUUAAUCAUAGUCUUUUACUUAAUUCCCAUAUCUUUGUUAGGAAAAAUAUGUUCCAUUUGUGAUAAUAUUGGUAGAAUUGAAUAUGGAUGGUGUCUGUAAACAAAACAAUCUUCAUCAGAUGUACAAAGCUUUCACUCUUGUUCUGAAAUAAACUUUUUUUUUUUUUGGACUGGC